CCCUAAUUUCACUGCCUCACCGCCAUUCACAGCCACACUUCCCCUUUUUACCAUCAGUAGCCACCAAACCCCCAUUUCCCUUUCCCUCCACACCGCAUCGCGCACACAUAGACCUCCCUCUCGACAUCCACACUCAGCCUCACACACCUCACUCACCCUCCAUUGUCGCGCCAGCCACCCACGCAGAGAGAGAGAGAGAGAGAGAGAGAGAGAGAGAGAGAUGGAGGAGCGUCGCCGGCAGAAGGAGAGGUCAUCGCCGCUGCCGAAUCGUCGAGUCGUCGCGCCCUGCCACCGCGAAGCCACCGAACAGCAUGCGUCGUCGCCGCAGUUGGAGGAAUCCCGUGUCGCCGUCUUUCUCGCCUUUGCCGGAGAAGCCUGAGGAGACGGGGAGACAGAACACGAAGGAUGCCAUCCGCGUCACUUCUUCGUGUAUUUUGUUCCGUCUUUUGCGCGCUGAUUCCCUUUUGUUGGUUUUCUGCGCUUGUCAAAGUUCAAACCUUUCUCUGAUUUGGAUGGAUCUAGUUCCAGUUUCUCAGAAUUUGGUCUUCUGGGGUGUCGAGGAUACUUGAACGUCACUGAUUCUACCUCAAAGGCUCAACGUGCAGGUUGCCUGUUGAAGAAAAUUAUGCAAAUCAUUGAGUUGCGUGUUUCACAUCAAGCAGAAAGCAUAAAAAAUGUAAAAUUAACUUUAUAUGUUCAAUGCCUCCCUAGUAACUGUUUGAGUGAUUGGAACUACAGAGACCCUGCCUGCCUUCUCUCAACUUGUUCAAUUCUUGAGGUGAAAUGAAAUUAGAUAAAACACAUAUUUGAAUUUUGGAUGCUUUAUAUGUAAUGGAUAUAGGUAUGAUUGAUCCUUCCCUUGAUUGAGAUAUGUCUGACUGUGGAACUUUGCUACAGGGAAUAGAAAUGCAUGAGUUCUGUUGCUGAGAAGCUUGAACAAAGUAAAUUUGAGGAAAAAAAGAAACUUGCAAAUUAGGAUUUUUUCAGAAUCCAGAUAUGUGAAUUGGAAGAAUAAGGAGCAUAUUUACCUAAGUUUUGUCGAUUGCCAAUCUAGAGCUUUUCAGCAGGUGCUGAGCUUUCAAAUGGUAAAGUGGCUGAAACAAAAGUUCUCGAGCGUUGAGAAGAAAGAAUAGCAAUACCAGAAACAAUCUAUUCUAGCAGAGUCUAAGUUGUAUUGCUCCCACGCCUGUGGAACAAUUCUGUUAAUAGUGUCUAUUUAGUGUUAGUGUAUAUAUCACUGUAUAAAACUAAGAUCGAGACAAGUGUAUUCACUCAACUAUAUUGAUAUGUUAGCUGGUUACUUUAAUUAUAACU
Non-coding RNA from Arachis ipaensis, 1314 nucleotides. Lineage: Eukaryota; Viridiplantae; Streptophyta; Magnoliopsida; Fabales; Fabaceae. The record is from RefSeq and is a predicted model, not a curated record.